This 2905-nucleotide ribosomal RNA is filed under the name Klebsiella aerogenes. RNAcentral describes it as "23S ribosomal RNA". It matches the Rfam family "Bacterial large subunit ribosomal RNA". The record is from RNAcentral. Lineage: Bacteria; Pseudomonadati; Pseudomonadota; Gammaproteobacteria; Enterobacterales; Enterobacteriaceae.
GGUUAAGCGACUAAGCGUACACGGUGGAUGCCCUGGCAGUCAGAGGCGAUGAAGGACGUGCUAAUCUGCGAAAAGCGUCGGUAAGGUGAUAUGAACCGUUACAGCCGGCGAUGUCCGAAUGGGGAAACCCAGUGUGAUUCGUCACACUAUCGUUAACUGAAUACAUAGGUUAACGAGGCGAACCGGGGGAACUGAAACAUCUAAGUACCCCGAGGAAAAGAAAUCAACCGAGAUUCCCCCAGUAGCGGCGAGCGAACGGGGAGCAGCCCAGAGUCUGAAUCAGCUUGUGUGUUAGUGGAACGGUCUGGAAAGUCCGACGGUACAGGGUGAUAGUCCCGUACACCAAAAUGCACAGGCUGUGAACUCGAAGAGUAGGGCGGGACACGUGGUAUCCUGUCUGAAUAUGGGGGGACCAUCCUCCAAGGCUAAAUACUCCUGACUGACCGAUAGUGAACCAGUACCGUGAGGGAAAGGCGAAAAGAACCCCGGCGAGGGGAGUGAAAAAGAACCUGAAACCGUGUACGUACAAGCAGUGGGAGCACCUUCGGGUGUGACUGCGUACCUUUUGUAUAAUGGGUCAGCGACUUAUAUUCUGUAGCAAGGUUAACCGUAUAGGGGAGCCGCAGGGAAACCGAGUCUUAACUGGGCGUUAAGUUGCAGGGUAUAGACCCGAAACCCGGUGAUCUAGCCAUGGGCAGGUUGAAGGUUGGGUAACACUAACUGGAGGACCGAACCGACUAAUGUUGAAAAAUUAGCGGAUGACUUGUGGCUGGGGGUGAAAGGCCAAUCAAACCGGGAGAUAGCUGGUUCUCCCCGAAAGCUAUUUAGGUAGCGCCUCGUGAAUUCAUCUUCGGGGGUAGAGCACUGUUUCGGCUAGGGGGUCAUCCCGACUUACCAACCCGAUGCAAACUACGAAUACCGAAGAAUGUUAUCACGGGAGACACACGGCGGGUGCUAACGUCCGUCGUGAAGAGGGAAACAACCCAGACCGCCAGCUAAGGUCCCAAAGUCACAGUUAAGUGGGAAACGAUGUGGGAAGGCACAGACAGCCAGGAUGUUGGCUUAGAAGCAGCCAUCAUUUAAAGAAAGCGUAAUAGCUCACUGGUCGAGUCGGCCUGCGCGGAAGAUGUAACGGGGCUAAACUGUGCACCGAAGCUGCGGCAGCGACACUAUGUGUUGUUGGGUAGGGGAGCGUUCUGUAAGCCUGCGAAGGUGGCCUGUGAGGGUUGCUGGAGGUAUCAGAAGUGCGAAUGCUGACAUAAGUAACGAUAAUGCGGGUGAAAAGCCCGCACGCCGGAAGACCAAGGGUUCCUGUCCAACGUUAAUCGGGGCAGGGUGAGUCGACCCCUAAGGCGAGGCCGAAAGGCGUAGUCGAUGGGAAACAGGUUAAUAUUCCUGUACUUGGUGUUACUGCGAAGGGGGGACGGAGAAGGCUAUGUUAGCCGGGCGACGGUUGUCCCGGUUUAAGCAUGUAGGCGGAGGUUCCAGGUAAAUCCGGUACCUUUUUAACGCUGAGGUGUGAUGACGAGGCACUACGGUGCUGAAGUAACAAAUGCCCUGCUUCCAGGAAAAGCCUCUAAGCAUCAGGUAACAUUGAAUCGUACCCCAAACCGACACAGGUGGUCAGGUAGAGAAUACCAAGGCGCUUGAGAGAACUCGGGUGAAGGAACUAGGCAAAAUGGUGCCGUAACUUCGGGAGAAGGCACGCUGAUAUGUAGGUGAAGCCCCUGCGGGUGGAGCUGAAAUCAGUCGAAGAUACCAGCUGGCUGCAACUGUUUAUUAAAAACACAGCACUGUGCAAACACGAAAGUGGACGUAUACGGUGUGACGCCUGCCCGGUGCCGGAAGGUUAAUUGAUGGGGUUAUCCGUAAGGAGAAGCUCUUGAUCGAAGCCCCGGUAAACGGCGGCCGUAACUAUAACGGUCCUAAGGUAGCGAAAUUCCUUGUCGGGUAAGUUCCGACCUGCACGAAUGGCGUAAUGAUGGCCAGGCUGUCUCCACCCGAGACUCAGUGAAAUUGAACUCGCUGUGAAGAUGCAGUGUACCCGCGGCAAGACGGAAAGACCCCGUGAACCUUUACUAUAGCUUGACACUGAACAUUGAGCCUUGAUGUGUAGGAUAGGUGGGAGGCUUUGAAGCGUGGACGCCAGUCUGCGUGGAGCCAACCUUGAAAUACCACCCUUUAAUGUUUGAUGUUCUAACGUUGGCCCCUUAUCGGGGUUGCGGACAGUGUCUGGUGGGUAGUUUGACUGGGGCGGUCUCCUCCCAAAGAGUAACGGAGGAGCACGAAGGUUAGCUAAUCCUGGUCGGACAUCAGGAGGUUAGUGCAAUGGCAUAAGCUAGCUUGACUGCGAGCGUGACGGCGCGAGCAGGUGCGAAAGCAGGUCAUAGUGAUCCGGUGGUUCUGAAUGGAAGGGCCAUCGCUCAACGGAUAAAAGGUACUCCGGGGAUAACAGGCUGAUACCGCCCAAGAGUUCAUAUCGACGGCGGUGUUUGGCACCUCGAUGUCGGCUCAUCACAUCCUGGGGCUGAAGUAGGUCCCAAGGGUAUGGCUGUUCGCCAUUUAAAGUGGUACGCGAGCUGGGUUUAGAACGUCGUGAGACAGUUCGGUCCCUAUCUGCCGUGGGCGCUGGAGAAUUGAGGGGGGCUGCUCCUAGUACGAGAGGACCGGAGUGGACGCAUCACUGGUGUUCGGGUUGUCAUGCCAAUGGCAUUGCCCGGUAGCUAAAUGCGGAAGAGAUAAGUGCUGAAAGCAUCUAAGCACGAAACUUGCCCCGAGAUGAGUUCUCCCUGAGACUUUAAGUCUCCUGAAGGAACGUUAAAGACGAUGACGUUGAUAGGUCGGGUGUGUAAGCGUAGCGAUACGUUGAGCUAACCGAUACUAAUGAACCGUGAGGCUUAACCUU